GUUUGCCAAAAUGUGUCCCAUUUCUUGUUGCUUAAGUCAGAGGUUAUGUUUCGGCCUCUUUCUCCCUCUGGGCUCUGAGGAAACCCUGAUGGUAUGCAAAAAUUAUACCGCUUUGCUUUUUUGGUUUAAUCAUUAUACUGUCUUAGGUCCUGUAACAGCAGGACAGCUUAAAGUGUAAAAGAUUACAAACACAGUGAGAUACAUUCUUUUGAAACGGCCUGUUACGGAAACUGCAAAAGACAAAAAGCUGCUACCAGGGGUAUCAAACACUGAACGUCUGGAAUAUAUUGACACAAUCUGAGGAAACCAAAAAGGGGCCAAACCAAAACAGCAUCUGGACCAUGCAUAAGUGUUUUACUCCAAACAACAAAUCCCCCCACUAAAAAACUCUUGUCUUCAACAUGACAAUCUCUUUUGUUCAUGGGAACUCUUUAAGAUAUCUUCCACACUGUUUGGUAAGUUAACUCAUUAUUUCCCCACAGACUUAGAAAGAAAGCCCUCUCACUGGCCCCUGGCUUUGCUGUAAGCAGGCCAGUAAAAAAAAAAAAAAAGUGGUUGUGAUUGCAUGAAACCGCCUGCAGACUUACAACUCAUUUUUUCCGACGACUUCAUGCAGCAGCAGUGCAGACAGUGUGCUCUGUCGUCUGCUGCUUCUUUGUGAGCUGGUGCGGAGAUGCUCCAGGGGGUCGUAAACACAUCCUGGUUUUACCUUUCCUGCUGCCUCCUGUUAGGGCUCUGCUCCCCAGGAGAGGAUGCAGGAUCAUCUCUUCCCUUUUUCGAGCGAGAGCCAGGGGAACUUGAUCUGGAGGACUUGGAGUGGGGCUCUGGGUCUUCUCUUCUGCAUCUUCUUCAACACUUCCCUGCUGACAGCCCUUUUGUCACAGAGAAUAUGAAAAAACCUGCCAACUGUAGCCAGCGUUUCUGGUUACCCCCCUCCUCUCCUAUAUGCUGGGAAAAUAUUGCCGGCCCUGAAGAGUUUGCAAAGUCGAGAUUGCUCGUUUUGCAGAACAGGGCAUAUUUGCAGGCUGUGUCCACCUCCAGUGGGGUGGAGGACAGUGGAUUCUCCUAUGACCAGCAGGCACGAGAGGAGGUGGAGGGGAUUCGAUCGGACUACAAGAACAUGGUGGAAACCAUGCAGACCAUGGACACAGUGUUUGAGUCCUUGCAGGAAAAGAGGAAGGAGGGAAGUGAGCAGAGGUUCUUCAUGAGCAUGAGGGAACAUCUGGCCAGUACUCGAGGAGCCAUAGACGGCAGGGAACACACAUUGAGCGACCUGGAGAAGCAGAUUUCCUCCUUGGAGAAAAUGUUGCUCAACGCCCAGCUACGACUCACCAAACUGAUCCAACAGUGACCAACGAAUAAGACGUUGAACAAGGUUUAUACUUGACUGUUUUAUACAAUGGUGUAGUUGGCUUACGCAUGCUCAGGAUACCUGUACACAAACCACUCAUCAAUAAAUCAACAGCAUUUUUCA
RNAcentral lists this long non-coding RNA (1474 nucleotides) under Gouania willdenowi (blunt-snouted clingfish). RNAcentral describes it as "lncRNA (ENSGWIG00000004804.1)". The record is from RNAcentral. Lineage: Eukaryota; Metazoa; Chordata; Actinopteri; Blenniiformes; Gobiesocidae.